GCAGUAGUUUGCUAUAAUCGGAGGUGCCUGGACACUGAUGGGACUGGAAGCCUGUCUAUGGAGAUCUAGAAGUUUGUCAACUUUCAAGAAGGUGAAGCUGAGUAAUGGACUUGAAGAUAUGUCCUCACCAGGAAGUUUAUGGGCUCCCCUCAUCAUGUCUGAAGGAUCUGGUGCGACACCAGAAACUGUGUCUGUGGAAGACAGAGCACCAACAGGACACUCUAAAAGUUACACUGGAAAGGACGGUGCCAGGCAGUCAGCUCGUUGGUGCAAGCCUCCCCGUGUGAGCGGACAGCGCCACUGUGAGAGGAUCCUCCAUAGGCCCCACCAGGGCCUCUUUAGACCAGAAGCAGUUGACAGUGUGAAGCAGACUCUGACCAGGAUCCAGCAGAGCAGGAAUAAUUAUACAGGGCUGGACUAUGGAAUCAAUGAGGGAAAUUUAAAUGUGCUCAGUGUUCUAUUUUCUUAUGGGCAUACGAAGAAGGCUUUUUCCUUUGUUAUCUAUUUCUAGUCUUCAAUUAGGGAAGCUAUACUUAUGCAAGCUGCAAUGAAACACUCUGAAAGGUACCUCAUUCCAACCAUUACUUUCAAAAUUCUAGAAAAGUAUCUUAUGGGGAAUCCUAGUGUAGAUUAUAAACUAACUAAUCCUCAGGGAAUGUGAGGAUGGUGGUGAUUCUUGUUCUGAACUUGGAUUUCAGAUGAGUAUCUUCAUAAUGGGUUAAGCUUAGACAAAUAUAUGGAAAGACAUUGACUUAUCCUAACAGCCAUAAAUCCAUAAAUAAUCAAGCCAUUUUUAUAGAUAACAUGAAAAAUAUUAAUUUUCCUGUCCACAAUCUACUUAGGGCAAUAAGCAGAUUCUAUUACAAUGACUUACUGAGAUCCUUCCUCUUUCAUGGCCAUGUAUUCGUUUUUAUAGGUUCAAUAAGAAUCAGGCCUUAUUCUUACCAGGAUAUAAUUAAAGAGAUUGUUAGUGCAACCAGAGCACAGUGUGUCAUAUAUAAGAAUAUGUUUCAUUUAAUCAUAUAUGACAAGACCACAUUUUAGGGAUGUAGUGGUUAGAGUUCAUAUGUGGAACAAAUGCCUGCUAAGCUGCCUUUACAGGAAGCUGGGCUGAUAACUGUUCUGUGGCUUACAGGGUCCCUCCCAGUUUUACAGGUGUUAAGGAAGGUCAUUUCCUGGCAGGCCAGAAACCUUGGCAGGAUUGAGGUACCUCAAGAAAAAGGAAAUCUGUCAUAAUUAGAAAUACUACUGGCAAAACUUGGUGGAGACGUUUUUUGGUUUUGGUUCUGUAGCCUUGGAACACAUGUGCUAAUAAGAGCAUUAAAAAAAUUAAAAAUAAAGUCUUUGGGAGGCGAAUGAAGAUUCCUUCUACAAUUUUCAGAUGGAAGGUUAUUCUCUGGUUUUAGUGGUUGCUCAGCAUCAUCUCUCAAGAUUUGUUGACAUUCAACAAGAAGGCUAUGUGUGUUUAUUAAUACCUUUUACUGCAACUAUGUAAAUGAAUCAAGCCAAACAGAUUAGAACACACAAUAUCAAGGUAGAAGUUAAGAGACUUCAUGAGGCCUGAAGGAUGAGAAGGAACCACCACAUAAGAGGCAGGGGAAAGAAUAUUCUUGUCAGAAAGAAUAGCUUGUGUAAAGACCCUCAUAUCAGAAAGAGCUUUAUAGUCCAUGGGGUCUUCUCAGAAUCCUUGGAGUAUAGAAAGUGAGCAGAAAGUAGAGAAAGUGAGAGUUGGUCAACAGAUGAAGGAGGUUAUUGCCACAUCAUGCAAGGGCUUACAGGCCUUGAUAGGUAACUGUGUGUUAUUCCAAGUGCAUUUGGAAUGCUCUGAACAUUUUUGAGCAUGAAGUGAGAUGAUUUGGUUAACAAUCACCUUGUUCCUGUCUGAAAACAGGUGAGAAGACACCAGCAUUGAGGAUGGAAGGCCAUGUUGCACUGCUGACAAGAGGUAACAAUGUCUUGGACCAGGGCUAGCAGCAAAGGAGAGAAACGAGUGCGCUUGAGCAUGUUUUGUAGGGAGAGCCAAGGAGGUUGGCAUUAGGGCAAUGGAAGAAUCAAGGAUGGUUUCUAGAUGUGUGGUGUGAUUAGAUAUGGGUGCCCCUAGCUGUAUUUGCCAAGGUAGUAUUUUCCCUUCCCCAAAGAAGUUUUGAGGUGAGGUGAGAGAGGGAAAGAAAUCAGUGAUUUUCGCAAAUAUUUGUGGAACACCAAUUGUGUGUCAAGCACUGUGGUAUUUAGGUGUUCACUAAAUAUUGGUUGAAAAAGAUUUGUUCGUCUCCCGUAGGGCUUUCCAGUGACCAGGAAAGAAGAUCAAGGAAAUAGUUCUGAGGACUUCAGAAAGUAGGUAUAAAAACAUUGAGUGGAAAGAAGAAGGAGCUUGGGAAACCUAAAGCAAACCAUUCUAAGGGCCUAUCCUUGGAGCCACAGAGGACUGAAGCCCUGCCUCUCUCUCCCUUCCCCAUGGCUCCUAAAGUCCAUUCCCAGCCACCUGUGCUUCCUGCAUGCCCUGCCCCCGCUGGUACCUGUUCAUUUUUAUCAUAGUGUCAAGUAGAAGCCCUCUUGGUGGAAACUCCCUUGGUAACACAAGUCUCCUUCAGCCUCCUAGUAUUCAUCUUCCAGAAUUGCCUUGUUGUAGAUGAUAGCUUCUAGACAUAUAUGGCUAUUUAAAUAUGCAUUUAAAUGAAUUACAUUACAUAAAAUCAAAAAUUUAGUUCCUCAGUCCCACUAACCAUAUUUCAAGUGUUCAAUGGUCAUGGGUGACUAGUGGCUACCAUAUUGGGAAGCACAGAAAAAGAACAUUUUUAUCACAAUUGUACACAACAGUGCUGGCCUAGACACUAUAGGCCUAAAGGAAGGCACCCCUGAGCUAUAAAUUUACUAAUUCUCCUUCUUAUGUAAAGAGUCCUUCCCUUCUCUCUUGCUUCUCCUUUCUGUAGGCUUGGGCUAUCACUUAGCAGUUGCAGGACCAUGGUAAGUCAUUUAAACCUUUUGAGCCUCAGUUUCCUUAUGUGCAAAAUGAUAAUGAAAUGUACCAUGGCUGCCAUGUGGAGGAAAAGAACUUAGAGCAGUGCCUAGCUACAGUUAUAGCUUAUUUCCUUUGCUAUGAUGCCCAGUCAUGCAUGGACAUAAUAAACCACCAUUCUAAAAAUAGCCACUUUCUUUCUGCACAAGCUCCUCUUUCACUCAUGAACAAAUUAAAUUUCUUUUGUUUAUACAAAAAGAAAUGGCUGUCACAAUCUGUUUGUAUUUUGGUAGGAAGAUUUCUGAAUAGCUUAGCAUGUCUUGGGACCAAACUAAAGAGGGUGGAGGGAAGGGCCCUACCCUGAGAGUUUGGAAGAGGGCAAGAACUAGCCUGAGCACGUGGCAGGGUGAAACCUGGACAAGGUGAGAGGUCAUUAACCUAUCAAUGGGAAACUCACAAAGGAUAUAUUUACAGAUAAAUGGCUGAACAGUUGUUUACAGAAAUACAUGGAGUUUUCAUUCUCAUCAAGAAAAGAAAAUGAAAAAGAAUGAAG
This is a long non-coding RNA of Rhinolophus ferrumequinum (greater horseshoe bat), 3509 nucleotides long. RefSeq lists it as uncharacterized. The transcript is spliced from 3 exons. The record is from RefSeq and is a predicted model, not a curated record. Lineage: Eukaryota; Metazoa; Chordata; Mammalia; Chiroptera; Rhinolophidae.